RNAcentral lists this ribosomal RNA (211 nucleotides) under uncultured bacterium. RNAcentral describes it as "partial 16S ribosomal RNA". It matches the Rfam family "Bacterial small subunit ribosomal RNA", at positions 524 to 723 of the family's 1533-position model. The record is from RNAcentral.
UACGUAGGGGGGCAAGCGUUGUCCGGAAUUACUGGGCGUAAAGCGUGCGCAGGCGGUUAUGUAAGACAGAUGUGAAAUGCCCGGGCUUAACCCUGGGAACUGCAUUUGUGACUGCAUGGCUAGAGUUUGGCAGAGGGGGGGUGAGAAGUUCCUACGUGUAGCAGUGAAAUGACGUAGAUAUGUGGGAGGAACACCGGAAUGGCGCAAGGCA